GGAGGGGACACGCGGACACCGGCGGACGGGCCUGCUCUCUGCACAAAUGAUGGGAAAGCGUCAGUUAUGAGUUUCACUUCAAUAAGCUGCUGCCUGUGUUGUCGACGCGGUGUUUACUCCUCGGAUACUGAUAACUGGAGGUGAGCCUGAGGAAAGCAGGGAGGAUCAUCCAGUCACACUCUGUUCACACCACUUCCUGCAGGAUCCACUCCCAGCACACUGAGGCCACCAGGCGGCUGAACACUGGACACUUCACUCCAUAUUAUACAUAAAUGGCAUUUUUGCACAAUAUUCAUCUGCUGACUUUCUGUAUAUGUUAUACUUAUGUAUAUACACACAUAUACACAUGUGUAUGUAUAUAUGUGCAUGCAUUCUUUUUAUUUGUACAUACAUUCAUGCCAUUCAUUGCAUUUUUUAUAUAUUUCUUAUAUUUUAUUUAUUUAUUUUUUAUGUUUCUUAUAUUUUGGACACCACUGUUGUUUGUGAAGCUUGCACACAAGAAUCUCACUGACAUGUGCUGCACCAGUGUACCAGUAAUGUGAUGUGACAAUAAAAGUGAUCCGAUCUGA
Molecule: long non-coding RNA, 569 nt
Organism: Haplochromis burtoni (Burton's mouthbrooder)
Lineage: Eukaryota; Metazoa; Chordata; Actinopteri; Cichliformes; Cichlidae
Exons: 2
Source: RefSeq, a predicted model, not a curated record